GGAAGGAUCAUUACCGAGUGAGGGCCCUCUGGGUCCAACCUCCCACCCGUGUUUAUUUUACCUUGUUGCUUCGGCGGGCCCGCCUUAACUGGCCGCCGGGGGGCUUACGCCCCCGGGCCCGCGCCCGCCGAAGACACCCUCGAACUCUGUCUGAAGAUUGUAGUCUGAGUGAAAAUAUAAAUUAUUUAAAACUUUCAACAACGGAUCUCUUGGUUCCGGCAUCGAUGAAGAACGCAGCGAAAUGCGAUACGUAAUGUGAAUUGCAAAUUCAGUGAAUCAUCGAGUCUUUGAACGCACAUUGCGCCCCCUGGUAUUCCGGGGGGCAUGCCUGUCCGAGCGUCAUUGCUGCCCUCAAGCACGGCUUGUGUGUUGGGCCCCGUCCUCCGAUCCCGGGGGACGGGCCCGAAAGGCAGCGGCGGCACCGCGUCCGGUCCUCGAGCGUAUGGGGCUUUGUCACCCGCUCUGUAGGCCCGGCCGGCGCUUGCCGAUCAACCCAAAUUUUUAUCCAGGUUGACC
This 516-nucleotide ribosomal RNA is filed under the name Penicillium chrysogenum. RNAcentral's name for it is "eukaryotic LSU rRNA". The stretch from base 190 to 342 matches the Rfam family "5.8S ribosomal RNA". The record is from RNAcentral. Lineage: Eukaryota; Fungi; Ascomycota; Eurotiomycetes; Eurotiales; Aspergillaceae.